RNAcentral lists this transfer RNA (70 nucleotides) under Crotophaga sulcirostris (groove-billed ani). RNAcentral describes it as "tRNA-Glu". It matches the Rfam family "tRNA". Rfam says of the family: Transfer RNA (tRNA) molecules are approximately 80 nucleotides in length. Their secondary structure includes four short double-helical elements and three loops (D, anti-codon, and T loops). Further hydrogen bonds mediate the characteristic L-shaped molecular structure. tRNAs have two regions of fundamental functional importance: the anti-codon, which is responsible for specific mRNA codon recognition, and the 3' end, to which the tRNAs corresponding amino acid is attached (by aminoacyl-tRNA synthetases). tRNAs cope with the degeneracy of the genetic code in two manners: having more than one tRNA (with a specific anti-codon) for a particular amino acid; and 'wobble' base-pairing, i.e. permitting non-standard base-pairing at the 3rd anti-codon position. The record is from RNAcentral. Lineage: Eukaryota; Metazoa; Chordata; Aves; Cuculiformes; Crotophagidae. RNAcentral also lists the same sequence under 1 other name.
GUUCUUGUAGUUGAAGAUACAACGAUGGUUUUUCAGGCCAUAGGUCUUGGAGAGAGGCCAAGCAGGAAUU